CGGAGUUUGUGGCCAAUGCCAAUGCAUAGGGUAACAAUCAGAGACGCAAGGGGAGGGCGUGUCACGCCCAAGAUGCGACCCUAUCCUAAAGGAACUCGAAGGUCCCACCAAGGAUAGAAGCGCAUCUUGAAGACGCUUUUGCAAGGUGGAUAUCAUUACAUCAACAUUACAUAAAUAGUUGGGGAUACAUACAUAAGGCACAAACGCCCCAAAGAAUACAUCAACAUCAUACUUGAGAACAACAUCCGACUACAGAUGGAACAUAAACAGAAACUCAAACAAUAUCCACCCUGCUAGCCCAGGCUGCCGACCUAGAACCUAUCCCCUGAUCGAAGAAGAAGCAGAAGAAGAACUCCAAAACAAGUAAACAUCGCUCUUGCGUCAUGAUCAUCGCAUAACCUGUACCUGCAACUGUGUUGUAGUAAUCUGUGAGCCACGAGGACUCAGCAAACCCAUUACCAUGGGUAUCAAGACUAGCAAAGCUUAAUGGGUAGGAAAGGGGUAAAGUGGUGAGGUUGCAGCAGCGACUAAGCAUGUAUGGUGGCUAACUUACGCAAAUAAGAGCGAGAAGAGAAGCAAAGCAAGCGGUCGUCAACUAGUAAUGAUCAAGAAGUGAUCCUGAACUCCUACUUACGUCAAACAUAACCCAAACACCGUGUUCUCCUCUCGAACAACCCCGAAAAGAGACAAUCACGGUUACGCACACGGUUGGUGUAUUUUAGAAGAGUUUACUUCAAGUUUACUACAACCGGAUAUUAACAAAUUCCCAUCUGCCACAUAACCGCGGGCACGGCUUUCGAAAGUUCAAACCCUACAGGGGUGUCCCAACUUAGCCCAUUAUAAGCUCUCACGAUCAACGAAGGAUAUUCCUUCUCCCGGGAAGAACCGAUCAGACUCGGAAUCCCGGUUACAAGACAUUUCGACAAUGGUAAAACAAGACCAGCAAGACCUCCCGGCGUGCCGACACCCUGAUAGUAGCCGCGCGUAUCUCGUCUCAGGCCACGACCGGAUAAGCGAAGCGUACAGGUACCAACAUAACCCAAGUUGCCAAGGGACGGUCCCGCACGGUGCUCUAGUUUGUACCAACACUUAGACAAGCUUUGGCCCGGGGGGGGGGGGGCUAAAUAAAGAUGACCCUCGGGUUAAUUACUCCCAAGGGAAAAGGUAAUAGGUGGUGGCAAAUGGUAAAACCAAUGUUUGGCCUUGCUGGAGGAGUUUUAUUCAAAGCGAACUGUCAAGGGGGUCCCAUAAAUCACCCAACCGCGUUAGGGACGUAAAAUCCGGGAACAUAAUAUCGAUAUGACGGAAACUAGGGCGGCAAGAGUGGAACAAAACACCAGGCAUAAGGCCGAGCCUUCCACCCUUUACCAAGUAUAUAGAUGCAUUAAUAAUAUAGGAGAUAUUGUGAUAUCCCAACAUAAACAUAAACCAACAUGGAGCAAUCUUCAUCUUCACCUGCAACUAGCAACGCUAUAAGAGGGGCUGAGAAAAAGCGGUAACAUAGCCAAACAAUGGUUUGCUAGGAAGGGUGACAAAGGUUAGAGGUUCAUGGCAAUUUGGGAGGCUUGAUAAGAAAGUGGUGGGUAAUGCGGCAUUGCGAUAGAACGAAGCAACUAGCAUAGCAAUGAUAGUAAUGAGAUCCAAGGUGACGGUCAUCUUGCCUGAAAUCCCGCAAGGAAGAAGAACGAGUCCAUGAAGAAGAUGAAGCCACGAAGACGAACCAAGCGUAGUCGAACGAAUCCUCACGAUCGCAACAAAACGGGAACUAUCGAGAAGAAGCACAACCGGAAAGAGGCAAACAACAUAGUAAACACACAGACAUGAUGCACAAACAAGCAUGAUGCAUGUCCGGUUUAAUGAGUCAUGGCAUGGCAAAGUGCAACAAACAAUACUACAAAUUAAGUGGAGCUCAAUAUGCAACGAGUUGCAUAUUGACGAAACACCACAUCCAAUUAUUUAACUCACUCCCGUUUAUGCUACCCAAUAGUAUUAAAUGUUGAUUAACAUGGCAAGAGGUGAAGCAUAAUAAAACUAUGUUCUAGGCAAGUUUAAAUGAGGCCGGAAAAACAAACAACAAUUCCGGAAAAUCCUCAUAUGCAUAUUUCGAAUUUGGUACUGUUCUGCCCUAUACACAAUUUUAAAGUUGUUAAACAGCAAAAUAAAGUGCAGCAAGUUAAUCCAUGCAUUCUUCUACCCCAUUUACAUAUAAAGAACGUUUAAUUCCGAGCUACGGUUAUUUAGUUAUGAGAUAAACCAUUUAACAUGGCAUGUAUGCAAAAAUAAAGCAAACAGCAAGUUUAAGCAUUUUAAACAUGGAUGAAAAUGGCAUAAAGUGAAACUAGAUGAAAUUCUAAGCAUUUUACUUAUAUAAUUUGUUUAAAUCCAAAGCAUGGUUAUUUAAAUAUGAGCAAUGCAAGAUGAUGGCAUUUCAGUAAAUAAGAAUGCAUUGGAAAAUGCUAAAAUACACAGACUGGAAAAAAAUAUGCACGGGCCCGAAGCAUUACGGUGCAGCGGCCCAGAUGAGGAUUCGACCCAUGUGGUUGUGGUGUGUGCAAAAGAAAAAAAGAACAGAGCAAAAACAGGGGCGCCUGGGAAUCGAACCCCAGACCUCCUGGUUGGAUACUGGUUGCGCUAGCAACAGGGCUAGGUAUGAGUUCCUGAUAAAACGAGCUCCCAGGCUCUUUUGAGCUAUUCAGGAAUAGGUCGAGCUUGGCCAUGGCUGCACGGCGACAACCGACGGCGAGGGCAAGCAAAAGUGACGGCCGUUGGGGUUAUGAACCUACGGCGGGCGUGCGAAAACAGAAGACGGUGCACGCGUGCUUGCGGAGAGCUGCGAGAGGGGCCGGAGCAUAAGCCUCGAGCAGAAGCUCGUCCCGGCCGAGGCACGACGUGCGACUAGGCGGCAGCUGCUGGGCGUGAGCGAAGAAAAACUGGCAAGGACGCGAGCAUGGCGCGGGUGCGGAGAAAGGAGGGGGUGCACUGCAAGGUGCGCGCGUGCAUGCGGGGCUUCUACGAGUGUUGGUGAUGCGUGUGGACUUGCUGAAGACGCAUGCAUUGGGUCUUAACCAAGCGGAGCAAGACAGAGAGACAAGGCCGGGCUUGCAGGUCGAAGCGCUCGGCCACGGCGGGGCGUGCAGGCAUGCAGCGGGGCGUGCGUGCAGCACUUGAGGCAAGGCUGCAGCGAGGCUACGAGGUGAAGCGAAGCAGGGGACCGAGCGAGGUGAGCGGGGACAAGAUCCGAUGGGGCACGACAGCGUUUCUCUGAAAGUUUCAGAGAUUCGCCGGAGCAGCGAGGGCACGACGAUGGCAUGGAUCUAGUAGUGACUCCGAUGACCUAAACGCGACAGGAAGAAGAGGGAGGGAAGCAGGUAUACCUAGAUCACCCUAGGACACGCAGACGGCCACGGAGACGAACCAGCGGCGACGCGGACGAGCUCUGAACCCGACGCGGUUCCUGUCCGAGGAAGAAGGAAGCAGGGGAGGACGCCAGGCGCGGGACUUGGCGACGCAGAGGAAGCAGACGAAGUAGAGGAAGAAGAUCGCGGCGCCCUUGGACCCUUCUUGCUCCUGGCCUUGCUUGAAGUUGAAGAAGACGACGAGCAGGCCUCACAAACGACGGCGGAACGCGCUCGGUGGUUCUCUGCUCCUCUAUUUCCUUAGGAAGAAGGAGAAACCGAGG
RNAcentral lists this long non-coding RNA (3679 nucleotides) under Triticum aestivum (bread wheat). RNAcentral's name for it is "long non-coding RNA (TAES_LNC019277)". The record is from RNAcentral. Lineage: Eukaryota; Viridiplantae; Streptophyta; Magnoliopsida; Poales; Poaceae.